CGCCCACUAGCUAGCUCACCCAACAUCAUAACAUUUAGAUAUAAAUACACACACAUCAACAAAUAAGCAAACAAAUCAUUUUUCCACUCUAGUAUAGGUGAUAGAAAAAGACAUUCGACGCAAUAGAGAAAGUACCGUAAGGGAACGCUGAAAGAGAAAUGAAAUAACUCAGUAAAGCACAACAAAGCAGAGCUCUCCCCUCGUACCUUUUGCAUCAUGUUUUAGCCAGAGCCCCUCAAGCAAAAAGCAUUGUAGUUUGACAACCCGAAACUAAGGGAGCUACUCCAAGCCAGCCUAAUAAAAAGGGCCAACCCGUCUCUGUGGCAAUAGAGUGGGAAGAGCUUUGAGUAGAGGUGACAGACCUAUCGAACUUAGUUAUAGCUGGUUACCUGAAAAUUGGAUAGAAGUUCAGCCUCUUAAAUUCUCCCCUCACCCUGAUAUCUUUCUAAGUGAGACACCAAGAAAUUAAGAGAGUUAGUCAAAGGGGGUCCAGCCCCUUUGAAUAAAGAAACAACUUUUUUGGGUGGAUAAAGAUCAAAUUCAUAAAGGUAAGUCAUUGAGGUGGGCUUAAAAGCAGCCAUCCUAAUAAAAAGCGUUAAAGCUUGAACAUUGCACUCAAACCCCUAAUUCCGAUUUUAACCUCCUACUCCCCCUUCUCCUAUCAGGUUUUCCCAUAACAUAUGGGAAUAAUAAUGCUAAUAUGAGUAAUAAGAGAGCAAGACUCUCUCCACGCCCAAGUGUAACCCGGAACGGACCCCCCGCCGGCCAUUAACGGUCCCAUAACUGAGGGUAACAGGCCAAAAAUAGAGAACUAGAAGACCACCCAAAUAUCCCCGUUAACCCUACACUGGAGCGCCUCCGUGGAAAGACUAAAAGAAAAAGAAGGAACUCGGCAAACAUAAUUGGCCUCGCCUGUUUACCAAAAACAUCGCCUCUUGACCCCCCCCCAAACAUAAGAGGUCCCGCCUGCCCUGUGACUAUACGUUUAACGGCCGCGGUAUCUUGACCGUGCGAAGGUAGCGCAAUCACUUGUCUUUUAAAUGAAGACCUGUAUGAAUGGCACAACGAGGGCUCAACUGUCUCCUUUUUCCAGUCAAUGAAAUUGAUCUCCCCGUGCAGAAGCGGGGAUAGACCCAUAAGACGAGAAGACCCUGUGGAGCUUUAGACGAGAGCAGCUCACUUUUCAGCUUCCUCUUAUGAAAGAGUAAGACUAAUAUGAAUCCUGCCCUAAUGUCUUUGGUUGGGGCGACCGCGGGGUACCAAAAACCCCCCACGUGGAAUAGGAGAACCCUCCCACAACCAAGAGCGACAGCUCUAAGUAACAGAACCUCUGACCCUCAAGAUCCGGUUUACCGAUCAACGAAACAAGUUACCCUAGGGAUAACAGCGCAAUCCUCUUCUAGAGACCUUAUCAACAAGAGGGUUUACGACCUCGAUGUUGGAUCAGGACAUCCUAAUGGUGCAGCCGCUAUUAAGGGUUCGUUUGUUCAACGAUUAAAGUCCUACGUGAUCUGAGUUCAGACCGGAGUAAUCCAGGUCAGUUUCUAUCUAUGUUAUGCUUUCUUCUAGUACGAAAGGACCGAAGAAAGGGGGCCCCUGCUAAAAGCACGCCCCCUCCUUAUCUAAUGAAAACAACUAAAUAAGACAAAAGGACAUACCCCUCCGUCUAAGAAAAUGACAU
Melanotaenia boesemani (Boeseman's rainbowfish) is the source of this 1681-nucleotide non-coding RNA. NCBI's taxonomy places the organism in Eukaryota, Metazoa, Chordata, Actinopteri, Atheriniformes, Melanotaeniidae. The record is from the annotation of a RefSeq genome assembly.